RNAcentral lists this ribosomal RNA (430 nucleotides) under uncultured bacterium. RNAcentral's name for it is "bacterial SSU rRNA". It matches the Rfam family "Bacterial small subunit ribosomal RNA", at positions 354 to 796 of the family's 1533-position model. The record is from RNAcentral.
GUGAGGAAUUUUCUGCAAUGGGCGAAAGCCUGACAGAGCAAUACCGCGUGAGGGAAGAAGGCUUACUGAGUUGUAAACCUCUGUUACCUAAGGAGGAAGAUCUGACGUUACUUAGGAGACGAAGCAUCGGCUAACUCCGUGCCAGCAGCCGCGGUAAGACGGAGGAUGCAAGUGUUAUCCGGAAUCACUGGGCGUAAAGCGUCUGCAGGUGGUUUCUUAAGUCCACUGUUAAACCUUGAGGCUCAACCUCAAAUCAGCAAUGGAAACUAGGAAACUUGAGUAUAGUAGGGGUAGAGGGAAUUUCCAGUGGAGCGGUGAAAUGCGUAGAUAUUGGAAAGAACACCGAUGGCGAAGGCACUCUACUGGGCUAUUACUGACACUCAGAGACGAAAGCUAGGGGAGCAAAUGGGAUUAGAUACCCGUGUAGUCC